This 15871-nucleotide long non-coding RNA is filed under the name Solanum lycopersicum (tomato). RNAcentral's name for it is "long non-coding RNA (SLYC_LNC001131)". Lineage: Eukaryota; Viridiplantae; Streptophyta; Magnoliopsida; Solanales; Solanaceae. The record is from RNAcentral.
ACCAUCUAAUAUUAAGAUCAUCAAAUGAAAGAAAUAGUUCCAUACUGCAUUAAGUGUAUACUUGAAAAAAUGGCACCAAUAAAAUGUCUGAAAUAAGAUGAGAAAUAAAGUCUAGUGGAACAUACUCCACUAACUUACACCUAUAUCUAAUCUAUAAUAUAAUGGCCAAGCUUCCUCGAAAGAAUGAAGGCCUACCAAAUCAGGAUAAAUACUCCACGUCCGUAUAGCUUCAGCGUCGACCUGUAAGCUCUACUAUGAAACUGUGCCUGCACAAAAAAUGUACAAUUGUAUGAGAUUAGUACCUACUUUUACUAAGUAAGGGUAUACGAAAGAACACACUAAGAACAUACAUGAUUAAGAAUAUCUCUUUCCUAUGGAUAUGAAUUAUCAAAAGUUAAGUUAGUUUGCUUGCCAAUUUCUUAUUAGGAAUGUCAUGCCACGAGAGUAACAUGAAUCAUCAUUCUUAUCAUUUUGCAAAUAGCACAUAACAUAUUACACAAAUCAUAUCACAUAGUUCAUAUUAUCCUUUCAUAUGACAUGAGACCUUGGAAUCAUGGACAUGAUAUUAGGACUUCCCGAAAAUGAGGGCUCAACAUAUGGGAACUCAACUAGGGAGCCUUUUUUAUCAAAUACAGAGUCUGCUUCAUACACUCAUAUACUAGUGUAGCCACCAGUCAUACCUAGGAUGUCGUUUAAGACUCUCAUCGUGUUCGUUGUGGAAUGACCAAGAAUACCUAGUGUUAUUACUAUGUCUAACUGACAUCUUGAUUAUCCAAUCUUAAAACCUUUGGUAUCGUUUAUUUUACAAUGUGCAUUCGUUGAGGCUGGCCUCAUUAUUUCUUUGUGAACUUUAUCCUUAGCCAACAUAGAUCAUGUAAGCAUAAUAAAAUCAAAUGUCUGCCCACACAGACAAAAGAUAGAAUCACCGACCAAACUGACCAGAACAUGCUAGAAUAUAUAAGGAGUCGAACCCUGGUAGAUCCCUAUAUUAGCAGUAUAGGUUCAAAUUCUGGGAGAUAUAAAGAGAACCAUUCCCAGCAUGUCAGACGGUCUCAUCUCAUGAGAGUUAUGUGAACCUCCGCCCUUCAUGAAAGAAGGCAUCACCUCUCAUAGCUAGCCUAUCGGUGCUCAGUAUAAAGUUACAUUUCAUUAAACUCAUACGUCAUGGAAGAUGGACUCUAGUAUGAGGAUAUCAUAGCUCAAUAGAUGAUUUCUCAUCUCAUCAUUAGUAUUAAGUAUACAUCAGUCUCAGUACUUUCAUUCGAGUGUACAUAGAGACUGGUCUUUUCAUUAGCAUUACACUCUCAUAGGUGAGUACGUUUUGGUAACAUUUACUUAGGAUUUUUGAGAUUACUCUCAUCUUUGACAUUAUCCUCUUAUCAUAUUGUCACCACAUUCAUUUGCAUUAUUUGUUUUUCAUAAUUACUCAUCUCUUUUACGUUAAUGUUCAUUUAAUCAUGCCCUUGGCCAUUUAGUGUGUUUCACACUCUUAAUUAACCCUGAUAGGGUUUCAUCAUAAUAUUACAUACAUCUUAGUUACUCAUCCCUUUUUACGCGAAUGAUCAUUUCAUCAUCUUUUAGUGUUGACUCAAGCAUUAUGGAGGCUUGCUUCUAUAUUGAUAUUGACUUACUCUAUUGAUGACUGGUCAUUUUUACUUUGCAUUGAUGAAAUGUGAAUUGUUCUUUCAUAUCAUUAUUAAUUUACAUUGACGAAUGUGAAUUUUCCUUAUAUAUCAUCCUUAGGCAUAAUGAGACUAGUUUCACACAUUCUACCACCUUCAUUUGCGAAUAUUCUUUUAAGAAAUUAGCUUUGGUGUAAGUAAGACUUGUUUCACUUCCUUUAACAUCCCAUUCUGGUAACUUAAUUAAUUUAGACCCCUUUAAUUUUGAUAUAACUCACGUUACUUACAUUCUUUUUUAUAGUAUCUUCUUAUCACUGUCUAUGGACGAUGAGCACUUCCUUCAAGCAGUUUAAUGUGUUCAUAGUUCAUUCUUGUGGAACAUGUUGGGAGUUGUCCCAAUAAAUAUCAUGCCCUUGGUUAUGGAUUCAUUUAUAUUACUUUAUAAGUGCUAAAUAUAAAUUUGAUACUCUUACUAAACAAGAAUUGGCAUAUGAUUAGUAUUGGAUCAACAUUUGGGAUGUUAGACUAGCAAAUUCAUUGUUUUUGGUAUAAACCAAUAUUUAUGUAUGUUCAUAUUUAAAUUUCCAUAUGUAUGAACCAUAUUCCAAUAUUUUAAUCAUUUACACAAGUUCCUUGCAUUUAAUAUAUUUUAUUUUAGACCAAAUAGAGUUAUCAUUCAAGAUAUUAUUUUAUAGAUGUCUUUGAGCCAAUUCUUUGAUUAUGGAUUUUAGUGUAAUGUUUUAUGAAAAUGCUGGACAACAUUAUAUUUACAUUUGAUUGCUUUAACAUCUUCAUAUAAUAACAAAAACAGCAAGUCAACAAUAAGCCAAAGAAACAUAUUCACUUAACACAUCACAGACAUAACUUAGCAUAUUAUCGAUCCUUAAUUAUCAUGAUAAGAUUAACUUUACACAACACAAGUUCAUAAGCUUAUUCAAUACUCAUCAUUCAAGAACAAUACAUGUUAAGAACAUACAGAACCACAUAUCAAAAACAUGAUCUCUAACCUAUUCAACAUUGAAAUCGAAAAGAAUACUAGGAAAGGGAAGUUCGACAAGAACGAGGGGAACAACCCUAGUUUUCAACAUCUUGUGAAUCAUUCGAAGGAAAAUAUUCUUGGAUAAUGAAUUAUAGGAUAGAUAAACAUACCGUAUGUAGAAUGUAAUCUAGGAAGACUACCUUGAACAACACUUUGACGAAACCUUGAAAUCGCCCUAAAGAAAUAAAUAAAUUUUCUUCCUUUUUCUUGCGUUCGUUGCUUACUAUUUUUGCAUCCUUUUUUUCUAUGAGUUUGAACGUGAUUUUUAGGUUUAAGAACUGCUCUUGAAUCAUUGAACUUAGGGUUUAAUAAGAUAAUUAAAUAAAUUAAUUAACUAAUUACAGAUUAGCCCCUCCUAGAUAGACUAGAACUAGGAAAACACAAUACUUGGUCAAAUUUGAAAUUUUUCAUAAGAAUUUCGUUUUGAACCUUUUAAUUAAUUAAUUAAAUGUCUAAUUUAAAUAAUUUAGGUACCUAGGGUAACUAUUAAAGCUCCCAUAAAUCAUUGGAACAAAAAUUAACUCUGUUAGACCAUCCUAGGUUAAGUACUAGGAUGUUUCUUGAGUCGUACUAGGUUAGUGUAAGAAUUUUGGUUUGAAUCAUUUAAUUGAAUUAAUUAAAUGUCUAAUUUAUUUAAUUAAUUGACCUAGGUUAAUUAUUAAAUUACACUUAAGUCGUUAUAACCAUACCUAAUCCUUUAUAUAAUCCUAGGUUAGGUACUAGAUUUUUUAAUUUUAUUUUAACCGAAAUCUUGAUAUCGCUUUGUGAUUUCGGUUUUGCCCCUUUAACUUAAUUAAUUAAGUUGAUAAAUUAAUCUUUUAAGUAUAUUAGGGUAAUUAAUAAAGUAGCAUUAAGUAUUUUGGAUCUUAACUAACUCUUUGGACCAUCCUAGGUUAGGUACUAGGUUGUCCUUUUCUUGUCUUAUCCGAAAUCUGAAAAUUUCCUUUUUAUUUUCAGUUUUAGCCCUUUUUAAUUAAUUAAUUAAUUUUCAAAAUUAAGUAAUUAGGUAACCUAGGGGUAUUACUAAAGUAUCCCUAAUUUGUUAGGACCAUAACUAAACUAGGUUAGUGUCAACCCGGUUUUGGUCCUAGGUUAUCGGGUUCCGUAAUGGGUCCAAUUCGGUUAGUCCUAGGUUAAUUAGUUAUUUAGGCCAGUAGGUUAGAGUCUAUAAUUUGUAGGGAGGUUAGGCCCCACAUGGAUUGGUCCCCUGUGCACGUUUUCCCCUUACCUACCCUAACCGAGUUCUAUUAGGGUCAUCCCCUUCUUUGGAAGCUUCUUCACAUGUCUUGCACAUGUGCUUGCACAUGGUUUGGUUGAAAUUUCCUAACAAACUAUUAUUUAUGGUUCAUUUGGGAAUGUUUAAUUAUUGUUCUUAGGACCCUCAGUAUGUCCUUGGGCACUGCUUCAUCUAUAUGAUUAUUUUACUUGAUCAUGUGCUAUGAUAUCUAGGCUUUACACUUGGAUGCCUCAUACCUUUUAUGUGAGAAAUGAAAAAUGAUGAUUUUUAGCUUAGGAUCUUUAUUGUAGGUAUAUCUAUUAAACAAGCUCAUUAACAUUUAGAAAAAUUGGCUAACACUCUUUAAGCAUAUAUUUUCUAAUAUGCCAAAUAUUGUGCUUAUUUGGGCAUUGUAUAGAAAUUGGCUAAUACCCCUUAGCCAAUUUACUAUUACAAAUAUUUCUCAAUAUUGGACAUUGGAAUGCCUAUGUAUCCCCAAUAUGCAUUCUUAAAUACAUAUUGUGAUUUUCAUUAUACAUCUAAAUUUCAAGAAUAUUACAAUUGUAGUCUUUCAUACUAGUUCUUGAGAAGUGAUCUAGGUUAUGACGAUUGACUCAUUAUGUUGUCUUAAGCUUUAAGUUAGUACUAAAUUAUAGUGUAGUGAUUCUUCUAGACUUAUUAUCAUGUUGGUUAUUGAAUUAUGUUUAUGUGAUGACCUAGGUGGGGUGAGUUAUGGGUUGAUGGUAAGACAUUUAUGAUGAACUAUAACAUAGAAUUGGUGUAAGGUUUUACAACACCGCAUUCCACACUUAGAUCUUGUGGUCUAUGUCGGUUAAAGCAAGUGUUCCCUAAACUAAAAUGAAAAAACGAAGUAUAAACUAAAUAGGGUGACUGGAGAGGUUUAACUUAGCCUAGGUAGGGGUAUGAGACUCUACUUAUCCCUUGCACUAGUUGGCCUUGAUUGAUGCUUUAGGAAGUUAAUAUUAUGUAUGUAUAUGAUAAUUAUAUUUAAGAUGAUGAUAACAUGUUGAUGCUACAUCAUACAUGAUAUUAUAUGAUGAUGGUUAUCCUCUUGAACUUGUAAUUGGGGUGUAUUAUUAAUGUAUGAUGUUAUGUAUACUUAUUGGUUAUUAUAUGUGACGGUUUACGUUGGUCAUGUUAUCUUGUUGUGGCUACUUGAUUGUGUAAGGUUAUGGGGAUUUGCUUGGUCAUUUCACUUGUUGACUUUUUGAAGAUUCAUGAGUGGUUGUCUUGAUUUUUAUGAUAUGGUUAACUCUUAUUCAUGCUUGUGAUGUUAUUCCUUGAUGAUACGGUUGUGGUAGAUUAUGGGUUCAAAUAUGUUGGUAUAUAUAUUACUCGUGUGAGUUAGUAAGAAUAUUUGGUUGAUUGAUAUGACUUGCUUGAUUAUGAAUGAGACUUUUAAUAUGGUAAAAAAUGGCAUGUUUUGACUAAAUGUCCCUUUUUAGCAUGUUUUUCUCUCAUAUGUGUAUAUGGUCUCAUACUUAGUACAAGUGGUGUACAAAUUGCACUUUCUUCCUUUUUCCUAAAAAUUUUAGGUUCCCAUCAUUCAAUGCUCAUUUGAGAUGACUUCAAGAAUUAUUAGAUAUUCUCUAUCAUUCAGGUGGGUACAUCCUCACUUUUCGAGAGCAAUGUCAAUAUCUUGCCUAUGGAGUUACUUGUUUUUCUAUGACUCUUAUGUUCAUUCUAGUUUCUGUUGAGUAAGACUUGUAUAAGAUUAUAUGUUGUUUCUUUACAUUUGAUGUAGGGCUAUGACCAAUUGCUAUGAUCGUUUAGAUGGUAUGAGAUGAGACAAUUUUUGAGAUUAUUUUCAAUCAUAUAUAUAUGUAUAUUCAAUAAAAGUAGAAGGUUAUGUAACCUUCGUAUAUGAAUGGUCUAUUUAUACUCUAUACGUAUAUAAUAUGUGAAUGUAGAGGUAUAUGUAAACCUCCACGUAGAUGUAAUGAAAAUUUUGAAUUUUUCCACAUUUACAACCUAUGAAUGUAAUGACAUGAGACUAAGAGGAAAGUAUUAGUCCUCAAAGAGGAUGACGACACCUGCUUCUUCUAGUAUUCAUGCUUGAAGAAAGUUCUAAAUUUUUAUUCAUUUUAGUAUGUUUAUUAUGAAAUGAAUGAUAUGAGAGGCUUCAAUGAUACUUCUUGAAGUCUCAUUUUUGGUGUGACGACAAAAGGAUGCUCUAACUUCUAGGGUGUACUUGUGGGUCGUGAAAGGUAUUUAUUUCUAAAUUAUGAUUAUUCGUACUGUUAAAUGAUAUGCUAUAUGAAUUUGGAUAGUGGUCAUGGCUCUUGUUGGGUUACUUGUUUGAGUAAUGUUAUGGAGCUUUGCUUGGUCAUUGCACUAGUUAACAUAAUGUGGGUUCAUAGGUAAUUGCCUUGCUUUUGUUAUGAUGUAUUGAACUCUUUUCCAUGAUUGUGGGAAUUAUAACUUGAUGAUGGAGUUAUCUUGACUAUUUAUUAACUUAUGUGAUAUGCAUGAUGGAAUCACUAGACUUAGUCUUCUUGGUCUUAUGAUGUAUAUGCUCUUGACUUAAUGAAUAUGUCUUAUUGGUUGCUAUGCUCUUCUUGAAUGUGGAUGAGGCUUUUAAAUGUAAAUUUGAUAUAUUAAUGAAAUGUCCCCUUUUAGCAUGAUUUCAUGAUAUGUGUGCAUCUGGUCUCACACAUAGUACAAGUGUUUUACUAAACCCAUUUUGUCCAUUUUUCCCAACCAUUUCAGGUUCCGAUCGUUGAAGGGAUUUUAGGAUGACUUUGAAAAAAGACAUGGAAUUCUAACUCAUCCAUUUUGGGUAGGUCCUCACUUUCCGAGGUCAAUGCCAUUAUAAAGCUUAUGAUAUUGUUCGAGUUAUUAGACUUUUGGUUCUUUCAUUUUCAUUUGAGUACUAAACAUUGUAUAACAUAUAUGUGGCUUUAUUAUGUUGAUGUUUGGGACAUGCCCAAUUGUUAUACUCUUAUUAUAGAUGGUUAUGAGAUGAGAUGUCCGAUUUUAAGACUAUAUUAUAUCUUAUAUAUAUAUGUAAAAUAAAAUUAUAAGACUAAGUAAUCUUCCUAUACAAAGAGUCUAUAUAUACUCAAAUAUGACUAUAUUAUGUGUAUGUGAGAGGUCUAUGUGAACAACCUUAUGAUAGAUAUAAAAAUGUUUUAUGUUUUCUGCAUUUUGACAUAUGAAUGUAAUGAUGAAAGCUAAGAGGAUGAUGCCGGUUACAUAGGGUGUGCUCCCCAGAUGUGAUAGCCUAAACAAUUAUUCAUAAACUCUUGUACUUAAAAACAAAUAUCAAAGCAAGUCAACGACCAAGCCUACAUACUCUUCACAUAAGAAGGUUUGACACGAUUGAAGGUUUCCACUCCUAAUCUCAUAUCAAGGAAUUUAAUAACCCAUCAUCAUGAGGUACUCCUCAAGCAUAACUAUUCCGAUAAGUUUAUCGCCUAAAGGAACUCAUAAUAAUCACGUUGCCUCAUACUACCCAACCACAUGUGGCCAUUACUACAUAAUGAAUACCAAGGGUAAUUCCACAUCUCAUCACAUUCUACCACCAUGUCCUAACAAGGUAGGUAGUUCCGGAUUUAAGCCUAGAAAGGUCAUCACCCUAGGUAGUUCAUGUAUAGCCUUUAAAGAAUUCUCCUUCCUUGUUAGUACUAUAUAAAUCUCGGAUCCUAACCAACAAUAAAACACAUGGUGGAACUCUUAAGAUCCACUACAACCUUUCUAGACAUUUUGGGUAACCAUUAUAUCUAGUUCAAAUAUAAUGGGAAACAUAGAAGAGAUUUAUCCAUAGAGGCAAAUUCUAGGUAUUUUCAACCCAUAUCACUACCUUUGGUGGAACCUUCAAGAUAACCAUACCUGGGUACCAUCUAUGAACUUUUGCCAUUUGACAAUACUUAAAAUCAAACUUCGUAGACCUCUUACAUCUUUAAAGUUGGUCAACAAUAGUUUUCUUCCUCUCCUUAUAAGCUAAGGGAUACAUACAUCUCUCUAAGUCAAUCUUAGGCAAAACAUAAUUGAAACUUAUGGAACAAAAUACUUUCCCCCCUUGUUCUCCAUUCUAAGGAGAGGUUCAUAUAUAGACUAAUCAACUAGUCAUCUGAGUUCUCCCAUUGACUAUCAUACUUCACAAUUACCUCUCAAGGUAAGCAAACUACCAUCCCUUCUUUGAUUAAAGUUGAUACAAUAGACUCUAAUCCACACAAGGACAACAAUGAUGAAUUACUAAUAUAGAAAGGCCACAUCCAUCAUUCACUAUUUACCACAUUUCUCAAUAACAUUUCAAGCCUACACCAUAACAUUGUACUAUCAUUAGACAUAACCAUAAACCAAUCUAUAAUUCCAAAAAGGAUUUCAUUUCACCGUAGAAAAUCUUAACAUACUUAUGACUACAUCACCUCAUAUGUUUUCAUACAUAAUAGGUCACAUAUAGCCAUAUAUGGCAUCACAUAAAAUAUUCUAAAUUCAUGUUCAUAUAUACUAUAAAGUCACAAAACCAUAAUAAGCAUCAAAAAUCACCUUUCUCCCUCAAUCAUUGAGACAUAACCCCUUCCAAGAAAUCACAUCUAAAAGACCACCAGACAAGGAAAAAUAAGAGAUAGAUCAUAUGGAAUUAAGCUGUAUGGCACGACACAAGAGUAGAGAGGAAGGUGAAAUUUUUAUUGUUUUAUAGAUUCUCACUCAUAGAUUUAUUAUGACACAUAGCGAUGAACAAGACUCUAUUAUACAUGGCAUUAUUAUACUUUGAUAAUCCUCUUAGCAUUCAUUCAUCGCAUAGUUAUAGAAAUUUAGUGGAAAAUUUAUAACUUGCCAUAGCAAAUAAAAAUGUUAUAACAUCACUACAACAAAAAUGCUCAUCAGAACCAAUAAAUUCCUAAUUUCUGCUAAUAAUGUAUUUAUAGCGGUAAUUGUCAAUUUAUGUAUAUAUCCCUAAUGUGUUUAGCUUCAUUGGUUUUAAUGACACUUAAAUUAUGUUGGUAAAGACUUUAGCAAUCUUUAUUAAUUCCAAUAUUUAAUGCCGCUAAAAGUUGUUUCUGUUAUAGUGAUUAUUUCAUUAAUAAGAUUAUAAGUACAUAGAUAAGAAACUAAGUCUCUUUUUUUUCCAUCAUAAGACACAACUUAAUAGAAGACAAUAGGGACACGAACCUUAACAAAAUAAAAGAAUUAUCUAAACUAUUACAUUAACUCAAAUAACAUCUUGACAUGAAUGUCAUUAAAUCAUUGAGGAACCCACUUGAACUUCGGAAUAUGAAUCACACCUACUCAUUUUUGUGUAAAAAGAUGAAAAAGAAUGGUAUUAGGAUCCUCAUAGUAACUUCCCUUAGAGUGCACUUGUGUAAUGCAUAAUUAGGGUCCAUAGUCCUACCUACACUAAGUAGUCUUUCAAGGAAUUAUGACGAAAAUUCAUAAUCUUAUUUUAGUUCGCUUCUUAAGUUUAUGGAUGCUUAUAGAUAACCGACAUAGAAUAUGUAAGAAACAUUAAAUACAAUUUUAUGUAACCCAACACCGAAAGAAGGAGUUCUUCUUGCCUAGGUAGAGACUACAUAAUAGAUAUAAAGGUUGAUCCACUAGUUAUAAACUACGGAGGCACAUAGUUAAGGGAUAGUGAUAUUGCUCUUUGAAACCUGACCUAUUAAAUUAGUAGAGAGCCUUCCAUGUCAUGAGUACCACUUGGAUGACCCAACCUUUUUCAUAGCGGAAGGGUCUUUUCUUCAUUAUAAAUAUCAAGUCGGUGCUAAGCUUAAACUCCCUCUUUAAUAUAUUUAUUUAUCAUUAGUUCAUAAAGCACGCAUUAGGAACAUGCUCCCUCAUACAUCAUAUAGCUCAAAUAUUUCUAAGAUGAGAAUCAACUUUCAUCAUAGAACCUACUUUUUAUGAGAAUUUCCUUUCACGUUAUUCUAUCAUAUAGAAAAUAUAGGCUAGUUUAGAGUACAAUUGGGGAAGCCUUACAAAAGACUUACUUUCACUAGAUUAUCAUAACAUUAUUCAUUCAUAAAGUCAUGUGUGUGUGUAAAUACGCAAGAAAGCAUUUUGACAUAAACACAUCUAGACAACAAAUGAUCAUACUUCCUUAUUCAUAUACUUUACAUGCAUAGUUGUCACAUCAGGGUUUACCCCCUAGACAUAACAGGCGUCUUCAUACUUUUUAAGGACUAAGACUAGCCUCUUAGUUUCAUGUUAUCACAUUCAUAAGUUAAAAAAUGAGAAAAAAAGCUUAAAAUAUUUAUUUUCUCUACCUGGAGGUUUACAUAGACCUCUACAUACAUAUAAUAUAAACUCAUGUGGAGUAUACAUAAACCCUUCAUAUAGGAAGGUUACAUAGCCUUCUACUUUUAUUGCACACAUAUAUAAUAAUAUAGAAAUAGUCUCAACGAUUGUAUCAUCUCAUACCAUAUAAACGGAUAUCACAAUAUGGGCAUAGCCCUUACAUCUAUUAAAUAAGACCGUGUAUAAGUCAUACUAAAUUAAAAUAUUCCAAUAACAAGGAAAGAAACCAUAGAGUCAAUAACCUCAUAAAAAAAUCCAAAGCUAGAAGAUGGCAUUGCCCUCAAAAGUUGAGGACCUACCCUCAACGACCGGAACCUAAAAUAUUUGGGACAAAGGAAGAAAAUGGAGUUGGUACUCCAAACUCUUCAAUACUACAUUAUAGUCUCAAAUCUAAAUAGUAAUGCAGUGUUCCUACCGUCCCUAUGUGGGAAAGGACACUUUUCUAUCUAGUUCACUCGGUCCUAAGCUAGAGUCCCUUUUCUAAAUCUCUUUAAACCUUUAAUUAUCAAUUAUAAAUUAAUUUACGUCAUAUGGCCUACCCAUUGAAUAAUCAUCAUCAUCAAUAAAUCAAUAAGAAUUGUAUGAGUAUAAGUCUCUUUUCAUCGCAAUUCAUAUAAGUGAGGUUAACACUUUAGCAUUUCAUAACAUAUUAAGGCUCGUUUAUAGUUUUCACCAUCUUUAUAGCACGUACACCUUAAUCAAUGUCACAACAUCGUAAAAACAUUUCAAUUCAACAUCAUACAACCCUAUAAUCCUAGUAUAAGGCAUACUCCACUAUAAUAUCAUGGCUUAACAACAAUUAAUCAUAAUUGGAAGUAAAGAUAGAGAUUCUACGUCUUACCAAGUGUUUAAAAUAGUCUAUCAUCAAGGUAUUACCAUCAAACCAUAACCCAAUCAAACUUGGGGAGUAACAUCAUCGCAGAAUGAUAAUAUAUAGAAUAACAAGUCCAAUUGCAUCUCUAUAACACAAUUCAUCUUUAGAUCACAACUUGAGACAAGGUACAUAAGCUAAUUUCACAUUAUAAUUUAUAACCUAAAUCACAUCUCAAGAGCUAGUACGAUAGGACUAUAAUUCAUCUUAAUUUAAUCAUAAUAAAGCUAUAGGAUAGUAAGCUAAUAAAAAACAAACUCGAUUGAAUGAUCACCAUACAACAUAGGUCAAGAUCACUACCUAGGGCUAGGGAUAAAGGAUCAGGUUCUUCAACUUAGACCAAACCAUCAACAAUUAUCAUAAACAAGUUGAAUUACAUGUUAAUAUAUUCAAUAUAACGCUAAGAAUUCAUUAACAACUCAAUACAUGACUUCAAGUUCGUAAAUUAAUGAAAUCCAUAGGAAAACUAAACUUUUUGAAAACAUUUUUGAAGGAACCCUUUUAGGAAAGAAUAUCAAAGAUUAAUACAACCCAUACCUUGAUGUUUAUAAAAAAUUUGAUGAUGAAUCCAUCCUUUUUACAGCCCCUAAACCCUCAUUCUUUCUAGCGUUCAAUGGUGAGUUCAUGCAGAGAGAAAAAUAAGAGAGAAGGAAGAGUAUUUAUUUUGAGAGAUCUCUUUAGGUUAAUGAGGGUUAAGGGUAUUUAUAUAGGGGCUUAAUUAACUUAAUUAGUAUCCCUUUAAUCCCUAACUAACCCCUAAACUACUUGAUUAAUUAAAUCAAAUAGUUUAUAAUUUAUCAGUGAAACUCGACCCUCACCGACGAGACCUUGAUUGACGGUCUGCGAGUGAGUCAACGGACAACCCCUCCUCCUUCUUGUACUCCGUAGUCUCAGUAAGAGACAUUGUAGGUUAGGGAUUCUUUACAUUUUUCUAUGUGUGGGAUGACGGUGGCCUCGACGCCCCGUCGAGCCACUUACCCCCGUCAAACCCCUUCCAUCUCGUGGAACAGUAGCUAGGUAAGAAAGACCCUUAACAAAUUAUGCUAAGUGUUGGACUAUGGUGGCCUCGAUGCCUCGUUGAGCCACACAGGACAGUCGUCUAUCCCAUCGAUGCACAGUGCCAGGCACUGCUGCAUCAAAUUGCAGGGGACCUCCUUAGGGUCCCUUGGGUUGUCCUUGUGGAGUCGUACCCAGACGUUUCAUUCAUGAAACAACUCAAACAACCAUUAUAUACCUUUCCACCCAUUUUCAUACAUUUUUUACUCCUACAAUUUAUUAAAAAGUCUAAGGCACACUAACAUCCCUUUAAACCAACUUCCCAGACGUUUUUGGACAUUUUGGUUCUUAAACCCCAUAAAUAACCUAUAAUCAUUAAAAAUGGACUUAAAAAUAGUGUUUAGACUUUAUGACACCUAUUUUAGGAUUUACCAUUAGUCUUUGAUUUUCAAGGCAUUACAAUAGUAACCGAUAAUUAUUCAUAUAUGAUAUAUACUUUCAAUUGACAUCAUGAAUUAAUCCUACUCAUAGUUAAGCAUGAGAUAUGUGUGUGUACAUAUUGAUUUUCAUGAUCACAUACAAGCAACUGCCAAUUUACUGAGGAAACCACACUCGAAAAGGAUCAUAACACAUAUUCAAUAUCUCUUAAGUCAUUAAUAACUUCACAUAAUGAUUAUUAGGGACUACAGAUCAAACACCCACAUUACAUCAUAGUAUGCACGAACAUAUUCAACAAAUUCAAUAGAAGUCUCCUAACAUGCACAAGAUAAAUAUUAAUAUAGGGUUAAAUAGGUAGGAGGUCAUUCUACAACGUUAUUCAUCCUCAUAAAAUAUGUUGACUAUUCAUAACCCUAAUAUGAUCAUCACAUACACGUAACAUCAUCAACACACCUAUUCAUGAUACUAGAAUGGAAAACUACACAAGACCAUCAUACUUAUCAUCAUCAUAACCACUUUCACAUUACAUCUAUAUCCUUCAAGGAUAUGAUCACAACAUAUAAAGAUAGACAAGAAUGUAAACACCAACACCAUAAGUUACCAUACCAUACAAUGUCAAAUCCAAUACUAUAAUUAGAAAUUUAGGUCAACUUACCAAUCUCCAACAUACUAUAACCAUAGACCAAUUUUCAAUAAUGAAUAAUGAAUUUAAAUAAAUAAUAAUAGAAAUCAUAAUUACAACAUAAUCAAAUCAUAAUUUCUUCAACCAAUCAUAAUGAUUACAAGACCCAUGUUAUGGGCUAAAUUGAGAAAUAGAAGGAUCACAGAUUCAUUCAUAAAUUCCUUACAAAAUCACCAUAAAACAUAGAAUAAUAGUCAACUCAUCAUUAGAAUGUAUUUUAAAUUCGUUUGAUAAUGAAACCAUGGGUAGAUUGAAUAAUAGGAUUUUUUUAUAAUAAAAUGUCGUUGAAAACCCUUUGAAAGAAAUCCUUCUAUGAAAGAUGUCACGACCCGGAAGUAUACCCUCGAAAUUAGUGCACCCUUUGGUAGCCACACGGCGUACUUCACCUCUAUGAGUUCUUGUACAAGCCCUCUUAUUUCAUUCGUUACAUAACAUGUAUGAAAAGUAGUGCAAAAUUAAACUUAUUACACAAAAUGAUACUUACUAAAAUCUCUCUAAGAAAAUCUUAAGGAAUAAAUAUAAGUAUAAAAAUCUCCAUUUUAGAAACACAAAUAACUUGGGACAUGGCAUAUACAUAAAAAUAUAAAAAUAUCUAAGUCUAUUACAAUGUCUUUAACAAAAAAAACUAAUAUAUAAUUAUAUCCCCGGAUCAAGUGAGGAUAUACAAUACUUGCUUGAAUUAAAGGCUAGUAUCCCUGUAUCACUUCACGUACUCUCAAAUACCACCUUUAUAUAUAGACUCACUACAUAAAAUAACUCUAUGACCCAACUAGGUAACACAUGAAAAGACCGGCAUGCACAGUCUCCAAGCCGACUUAAGCAAACCAUAAAGCUACUCUAUAUAAGUACCUUUUCAUUAGCAUGCCUUUAUCAUAAGCCACUAUGUUCUUUAAACCAUUUAAGAGAUAUUCAUAAAUUUAAAACAUUCACAUGGUGGUCUUGGAGAAGACUUAGGGAACCUAAAUACAAGAAUCUUCAAAGCCUUCUCAUGGAAUAAUUAAAAGUGUCCCAUUUCACUACCUAAACUUCAUAGAACUUAUCCAAUACUAGUAUGUAUCUCACAUUACUAGAAUAGGAAUUAAUCGACAUAGACCAUACUUACUAGGCAUGGAACGCAGAGUCAACCCUUUUCUGAUACAGGGUGUUGUACUUUCCAAUGGUAGAACUAGGAUACAACCAAUGUAGACACAUGGUUAAGGCAUAUGAAGGGUUUUUUCAUACUCUAGUCUUCAUCUUAAGUAGAGCUACUCUUUAUGAAUAUUCUUUGUUGCUAGCCUUUGUUCUUAUAGAAUAAUUUAAUAAAGGAUUAUAUGAAGAGGUAUUGUAUCUUGUUCAUAAAAAAAUCAUAAUACACCUUACAAAAGAGGGUCCACUAGGGCUGCCUAGAAUGGUUAUUAAGAUAACUCAAUGGCUUUCCUAAGGAUUAUUUCAUGUAGUUCCAGCCAACCUACCAUAAGUACAACAUUAAAACAAUAAAGAUACCAUUACAACUUGCAACUUCAAGGAUAUCAUAACCUUCUUUCUAAAAGGUUCCACAUAAAUGACCUUCUGAACUAUAUUCAAGAUCAUAUAAAAUUCUUACAUAUAAAGUCAUGACAAAGGUUCUUUAGGCUACUAUGUCAAAGAUCAUAUCCAUAUUGUUCAUCCUCUUAUCACAUAUAGAUUAUUAUUAAUGAAACAAAUAGGGAGAACUAAGUAUACAUGAAAGUAAUCCUACAAACUGUUUUAAAAUCAUUAACAUAACUUAUCGUAAUGUUCAUAUAGUAAUCUAGGAAAAUUCACACUCCAAUAUCAAAUAUACACAUACAAGGCAUCACUAUAGCCUAUCAUGAUCACAUAUACUCAAUUAAAUGUACACAUACUUGAAUUCUUAGAUACACAUAAUUCAUAUAAACCUUUAAGAUGAUCACAUAUCAAAUAUAUAACAUGAAAAUACCAUAAUUCAUAACGUAAUCUCAAUGAGGCCAUAUUAUUCACAAGUUUUUCACAUAAGCACUCUUACCAAACAAUAAAAUUUAAAAAAUAUACUAUACAAUAUAGAGAAUUUUAGGUUAACAUACCACCAUUCCAAACUCAACAAUUCCAAUCCAUAGCAAUUUAACCAAUCCAAUACACCAAGGAUCUUAGAAUAGCCAUAUUCACCAAUUCAAUCCAAUAAUUAAAAUAUACAAUGAUCCAAGAUAAUAUAGUAUGAAUUUCAUCAAUUUAGAAUAGCUUACGUAAAAUAAUAACAUUAUUCUUUAAUAAUUCAAUAUCCCAAAGUAAACUACACUAGAAUUGAAUAUUAUAGAGACAUGAUUAUAUCACCCAUCAAAAAAUAAAAAUAAAGAUUUCUUGAUUUGAAUGGGUUCAUAAAUAAUUUGAUCUAAUUUUAUUCCAUUAACAUAAAUUACAUCAUAAAACAUUGUUUCAAAUUGUUUCAUGCAAAAACCCAUGGUCAGAAGUGGAAAUAGAAGAAUUCAUGUUUUUGAUCAUCUUUGAAUUUUUUUUAAUUGACUUCUUGAAAGGAAGAGGAUUCAAGGAUCAAAUACCAUACCUUAAUUGUGAAGAAAAUCCCACAUGAUUGAUGGAGAAAAACUUGAAAAAUCAGUCUUCUUCCUUUGAGCUCCAAAGCUUCAUCAAUGGAUGUUUUUUGAGAAAAGAAUGGAGAGGUUAUCAAUUGAUUUGAGGAUUUUUUCUUGGUGAGUUUAGGGGCUUAAAAAGACACAAUAAACUUUAAUAUGUUAUCCCCAAAUUAUGGAAAAUA